CUUCCUCAGGGAGGGCUCGCGCCGCGGAGGGAAAACAGCGUCUGGCGCCAUCUUAGGUUGAGACGAUCUGACCGGACAGGGCAGAGGAAUUUGGCCACUGCAAAAAGGUGAAACUGGAGGAGGUUUUGAAACAGCCGCCUUUAAUGAGUGGGAGAAAUUGGAGAAGGCAGCAGACCCAGCAGGAGCUGGGGGUGUUUAGCCUGGAGAAAAGGAGGCUCAGGGGUGACCUGAUCACUCUUCAGCUACCUGAAAGGCUGUAGCCAAGUGAGCUCUGCUCCCAGGCAGGACACAGUUUCAAACUGCACCAGGAGAGGUUCAGGGUGGACAUCAGGAAGAAUUCCUUCCCAGAAAAGGGUCUGUCCCGUGUCCCUCCCUGGCAAGCGGCCAGCAUCAGGGGGACCAUGGUUAAUCACCGGCCAUUAACAGUGACUUUAUGGAAAGAAGAAUGGUGCCACAGUGACAAUGAAGGAGUAUGAAUGCACAGCUGCAAACUGAGACACAAGGUUCAGGACAAGAAAGAAUCAGGCCCACAGGUGGUUCUUGUGUCAAUGAGCAGCUUUGUCUCCUUUGGGAAGUCACUUGAGCUCUGUGCUUUCCUUGUCUCCCUGCCUUUUCUGCCCUGUUUUAUUCUGAGGACUUCAUUUGUUCCUGCCAGGAUGUUUGUGCAGUGACUCUUUGGAGUGCACAGGUUGCUGCUUCUGGGUGUUGCAGUAAUAUAGACUAUACUAAUGUAAUGGAGGAUAAAAACCAGAGAAAUCUCCUGAAAGGCUACUUAGAAUAAUAGGUCUAUGAAUACAGCAGAAAGGGAAUGGGCAUAUCUAAAGACAGAGAGGAUAUCCAGCAGGACCUAAGAGAAAGAAAAAUGUUCUAAAGUGCAAAAUAAUAAAAAAGAGAGGAGGAACAAAGGCAUAAAAAGAAACAAAGUGUAUUAAAAACAGAUAUGUACACACAGAGGAAAUGUGUGCAUAUGAAUGAGAGAAACCUCAAAUGCAGUAAAUCUUGUUUGUAAGAGACAGAGCAGAAAGAAAAGCUGUUGUUCCUGACCCAUGGAAAGACAAGUUGCAUUGCAGGUUUGUUAGAUACCAGCAGCGCUCCAUGGACAGGGGAUACCAUGAAACGUAGAUCUUUAAGAAAUCUUAGCAACAGUUGUGUUUUUUGGUCAUUUUCUGUCGGAACCCAGAGCAUCUCUCUGGAUGCCCUGGAUGUCUCAAAGCCCUGGCAGGGGCUUGGAGACCCUGGCAGGAAGCCAAAGACACCUGGAAAUUCAAUCUUAAUUCA
Passer montanus (Eurasian tree sparrow) is the source of this 1278-nucleotide long non-coding RNA. RefSeq lists it as uncharacterized. The record is from RefSeq and is a predicted model, not a curated record. The transcript has 3 exons. NCBI's taxonomy places the organism in Eukaryota, Metazoa, Chordata, Aves, Passeriformes, Passeridae.